This 300-nucleotide ribosomal RNA is filed under the name uncultured Pyrobaculum sp. RNAcentral's name for it is "partial 16S ribosomal RNA". The stretch from base 52 to 300 matches the Rfam family "Bacterial small subunit ribosomal RNA", at positions 547 to 795 of the family's 1533-position model. Lineage: Archaea; Thermoproteati; Thermoproteota; Thermoprotei; Thermoproteales; Thermoproteaceae. The record is from RNAcentral.
GAUAAAUCGGGGCCAGUGUAGCGGGUAAGAAGAAGGGGGCAAAAGGUGCUCGGAAUUAUUGGGCGUAAAGCGCACGCAGGCGGCGUAGCAAGUCCCAGGUGAAAGCCCACGGAUUAACCGUGGAAGGGCAUGGGAAACUGCUGGUGUUGAGUACUUAAGAGGAUCGCGGAAUUCCCGGUGUAGAGGUGAAAUUCGUAGAUAUCAGGAGGAACACCAGUGGCGAAGGCGGCGAUCUGGGAAGAUACUGACGCUGAGGUGCGAAAGCGUGGGGAGCAAACAGGAUUAGAUACCCCGGUAGUC